This 251-nucleotide ribosomal RNA is filed under the name uncultured bacterium. RNAcentral describes it as "partial 16S ribosomal RNA". It matches the Rfam family "Bacterial small subunit ribosomal RNA", at positions 524 to 776 of the family's 1533-position model. The record is from RNAcentral.
UACGGAGGAUGCGAGCGUUAUCCGGAUUUAUUGGUUUAAAGGGUGCGCAGGCGGCACGGCAAGCCGGCGGUCAAAUCGCGGGGCUCAACCCCGCCCAGCCGUCGGAACUGCCGGGCUAGAGUGGGCGAGAAGUGCGCGGAAUGCGUGGUGUAGCGGUGAAAUGCAUAGAUAUCACGCAGAACUCCGAUUGCGAAGGCAGCGCACCGGCGCCCUACUGACGCUCAGGCACGAAAGCGUGGGUAUCGAACAGG